RNAcentral lists this ribosomal RNA (491 nucleotides) under uncultured bacterium. RNAcentral describes it as "partial 16S ribosomal RNA". It matches the Rfam family "Bacterial small subunit ribosomal RNA", at positions 29 to 506 of the family's 1533-position model. The record is from RNAcentral.
AGUGAACGCUGGCGGUAGGCCUAACACAUGCAAGUCGAACGGCAGCACAGUAAGAGCUUGCUCUUACGGGUGGCGAGUGGCGGACGGGUGAGGAAUACAUCGGAAUCUACUUUUUCGUGGGGGAUAACGUAGGGAAACUUACGCUAAUACCGCAUACGACCUACGGGUGAAAGCAGGGGAUCUUCGGACCUUGCGCGAUUGAAUGAGCCGAUGUCGGAUUAGCUAGUUGGCGGGGUAAAGGCCCACCAAGGCGACGAUCCGUAGCUGGUCUGAGAGGGUGAUCAGCCACACUGGAACUGAGACACGGCCCAGACUCCUACGGGAGGCAGCAGUGGGGAAUAUUGGACAAUGGGCGCAAGCCUGAUCCAGCCAUACCGCGUGGGUGAAGAAGGCCUUCGGGUUGUAAAGCCCUUUUGUUGGGAAAGAAAAGCAGCAGGUUAAUACCCCGCUGUUCUGACGGUACCCAAAGAAUAAGCACCGGCGAACUUCGU